GAUGAACGCUGGCGGCGUGCUUAACACAUGCAAGUCGAACGAUGAAGCUCGGAUUGCUGGGUGGAUUAGUGGCGAACGGGUGAGUAACACGUGAGUAAACUGCCCUCAACUAUGGGAGAAGCAUGGGAAACUAGGUGUAAUACCGGAUGGGAGCGUCCUCCGCACGGUGGGUGUUGGAAUGAAGUAUCGGUUUUGGAUGGACGGGCGGCCUAUCAGCUUGUAGGGGAGGUAAUGGCGAACCAAGGCGACGGCGGGUAGCCGGCCUGAGAGGGGGACCGGCCACACUGGUACUGAGGCACGCCCCAGACGCCAACGUGAGGCAGCAGUGGGGAACAUUGCACAAUGGGCGAAAGCCUGAUGCAGCGACGCCGGGAUAGUGAUGACGGCCUUCUGGUGAUAAACCACUUUCAGUAUAAAAGAAGCGAUAGUGACGGUACCUACAGAAGAAGCCCCGGCUAACUACGUG
This 466-nucleotide ribosomal RNA is filed under the name uncultured bacterium. RNAcentral's name for it is "partial 16S ribosomal RNA". It matches the Rfam family "Bacterial small subunit ribosomal RNA", at positions 28 to 507 of the family's 1533-position model. The record is from RNAcentral.